Molecule: ribosomal RNA, 910 nt
Filed under: uncultured bacterium
Lineage: Bacteria
Description: bacterial SSU rRNA
Rfam family: Bacterial small subunit ribosomal RNA
Source: RNAcentral
ACGCUGACAGAAUGCUUAACACAUGCAAGUCAAUGGGGAAACGGUGCUUGCACUGCGAUAACCAUGGCGGACGGGUGAGUAACGCGUAAAGAACUUGCCUCUUAGUCUGGGAUAACAGAUGGAAACGACUGAUAAGACUAGAUAUUAUUAAAGCUUUGCAUGAAGCUUUAAUGAAAAGAGAUGCUAAGAGAGAGCUUUGCGUCCUAUUAGUUAGUUGGUGAGGUAACGGCUCACCAAGACGAAGAUAGGUAGCCGGUCUGAGAGGAUGAACGGCCACAAGGGGACUGAGAUACGGCCCUUACUCUUACGGGAGGCAGCAGUGGGGAAUAUUGGACAAUGGAGGAGACUCUGAUCCAGCAAUUCUGUGUGCACGAAGACGGUUUUCGGAUUGUAAAGUGCUUUCAGCAGGGAAGAAGAAAGUGACGGUACCUGCAGAAGAAGCGACGGCUAAAUACGUGCCAGCAGCCGCGGUAAUACGUAUGUCGCAAGCGUUAUCCGGAAUUAUUGGGCAUAAAGGGCAUCUAGGCGGAUAUACAAGUCAGGGGUGAAAACUUAGGGCUCAACUCAAAGCUUGCCUUUGAAACUGUAUAUCUAGAGUGCUGGAGAGGUGGACGGAACUACACGAGUAGAGGUGAAAUUCGUAGAUAUGUGUAGGAAUGCCGAUGAUGAAGAUCGUCCACUGGACAGCAACUGACGCUGAAGUGCGAAAGCUAGGGGAGCAAACAGGAUUAGAUACCCUGGUAGUCCUAGCUGUAAACGAUGAUUACUGGGUGUGGACAUGAAGAGUGUCUGUGCCGAAGCUAAUGCGAUAAGUAAUCCGCCUGGGGAGUACGACCGCAAGGUUGAAACUCAAGGGAAUUGACGGGGACCCGCACAAGCGGUGGAGCAUGUGGUUUAAAUUCGACGCAAC